Ovis aries (sheep) is the source of this 72-nucleotide transfer RNA. It matches the Rfam family "tRNA". From Rfam's summary of the family: Transfer RNA (tRNA) molecules are approximately 80 nucleotides in length. Their secondary structure includes four short double-helical elements and three loops (D, anti-codon, and T loops). Further hydrogen bonds mediate the characteristic L-shaped molecular structure. tRNAs have two regions of fundamental functional importance: the anti-codon, which is responsible for specific mRNA codon recognition, and the 3' end, to which the tRNAs corresponding amino acid is attached (by aminoacyl-tRNA synthetases). tRNAs cope with the degeneracy of the genetic code in two manners: having more than one tRNA (with a specific anti-codon) for a particular amino acid; and 'wobble' base-pairing, i.e. permitting non-standard base-pairing at the 3rd anti-codon position. The record is from Rfam. Lineage: Eukaryota; Metazoa; Chordata; Mammalia; Artiodactyla; Bovidae.
UCCCUGGUGGCUCAGAGGUUAAAGCAUCUGCCUGCAAUGCGGGACACCUGGGUUUGAUCCCUGGGUGGGGAA